This 266-nucleotide ribosomal RNA is filed under the name uncultured bacterium. RNAcentral describes it as "partial 16S ribosomal RNA". It matches the Rfam family "Bacterial small subunit ribosomal RNA", at positions 793 to 1055 of the family's 1533-position model. The record is from RNAcentral.
GUCCACGCUGUAAAUGAUGGGCACUAGGUGUCCGGGGUAUUGACCCCCUGGGUGCCGCAGCUAACGCAUUAAGUGCCCCGCCUGGGGAGUACGGUCGCAAGAUUAAAACUCAAAGGAAUUGACGGGGGCCCCGCACAAGCGGUGGAGCAUGUGGUUCAAUUCGACGCAACGCGAAGAACCUUACCUGGGCUAGACAACGGUGGACCGUCCUAGAAAUAGGAUUUUCCCUUCGGGGACUGCCGGUUCAGGUGCUGCAUGGCUGUCGU